Cornus florida is the source of this 1385-nucleotide RNA transcript. RefSeq lists it as uncharacterized. NCBI's taxonomy places the organism in Eukaryota, Viridiplantae, Streptophyta, Magnoliopsida, Cornales, Cornaceae. The record is from RefSeq and is a predicted model, not a curated record. The transcript has 10 exons.
UAUAGAAGCACCAAGAACCAGUAGAAGUUGAGAGCUCAGAAAAGGUCAUCCAUGGCCUCCUCUCUCGGCAUCUUCAAUUCCACCGCUAGCGCUCUUUUCCGUACUACGAAAUUCACACAACCAAGUCGUUUGAGGACCAAAAUUUGCUGUGUAGGAUGGGAUCCAGAAGGCAUACUUGGUCCUCCCCAAACAGGCCACCUCGCCAGACGCGAGUUCCAGAGGCGGCUUGAAAGCGACGCCGAGGCCAGAGAAGCUUUCGAGCGCCAAGUCCGCGAAGAGAAAGAGCGUCGCCAAUCUCUUCGACAAUCUCGGGUUGUUCCAGAUACUCCGGCGGAGUUGAUCGAGUACUUUCUUGAUACUGAGGCUCGGGAAAUUGAGUUUGAGAUCGCUAGGAUGAGGCCUCAAUUGAACCAGGAAUUUUUCGCACACCUACAAUUUGAACUAGGACAACUUCGGUUUGCUGUUUCAAAAACUCAGGAUAUGGAGGACAGAUUGAUUGAGCUGGAAGCACUGCAGAAGGCUUUGCAGGAGGGAACAGAGGCCUAUGAUAAAAUGCAGACUGAUCUCGUAAAGGCAAAGGAGAGCCUAACCAAAUUAUUAACGUCAAAAGAUGUAAAAGCAACUUUAUUGGAGAUGGUUGAGCGGAAUGAGCUCAAUAGGUCCUUAUUAACGAUUCUUGACGAAAACAUAGCAAAUGCACACAAGGGUGACCAGAAACUAGCAGCUGCAUUCAUGGAAAAGCUUCGUGGAGCUAUGCUAAAGUACAUGACAGUUUAGUGUUUAAAUGACUGGAAAUUUAACGUCCAGAAAGACCAAGGCUUGAAAAUGAUUUGUGCCGAUCUGAGUCUUUGAAGGAACAUGAGAAGUGCUGCAAUGAGGUUCCAAAAUAACCUUAUGAAGUUCAAAACUUGAAUCAAGGAGGGAAUAUGUUAUAUGGAUAUGCCUAAGUACACAAGCCGAGGUGUGAAUACUGGGUUGCCCAUCCUAAAAACUGCAAUUAGUGUGUGCCAGUGUAACAGUUGGUAUCAUAUGGAUGCUUGUGGUUAGCAAAAUUAUAGAACCUAUGCCCGGUACACUAUUGGUAUAAGGCUCCAUACUAAAAAUACAUAAAUGUAUGUUCCUUCUUAUUUCAAGGAAAGGGGACUUGAGUUGGUUGCUAUAAAUUACUAAAAUAAGAAGAAUAUCUUAACAGGUCUCUCUUCUCUAAACAAUUGAUCCCAGCACAUCCCACUAGUUAAGCCCUUGACCUUUUAAACAAAAUUAAUCAACACUUGACCGACUAUGUAAUAAUUUGUUACAGUACUGCACAUGUUUGUCAUUUAGUAGUAGUUGUUAGGUGAGCUGGAGGAUAGUUAUUAGUAGAAACUUGUACUUAUUUUAGUUCA